AAAUAAAAAAUUAUUAAUUGUUUUUGUAAAAAAGUUUUUUAAUAUAAAUAAAUUUAUUUUAAUAUUUUUUGUAUUAUUUAAAGAUAAAAUAAUUUUUAUAAUAGUAAAGUAGUAUUGAUAAAGAAUUUUGAAAAAUUUAUUAUUUAAUUAAAAGUAAUAUUUAUUUUAUGUACCUUUUGUAUCAGGGUUUAUUAAUUAAAAAUUAAAGAUUUUAAUAUUCUCGAAUUAAAAGGAGCUAAUUUAAUAUGAUAGUUUAUGUAUUAUAAUAAUUAUAAAUAUUGAAUUAGUAAUGAAAUGUUAUUCGUCUUUUAAAAUAUCUAGUUUUUUAAGAAAUAAAUUUAAUUUACAUAUUAGUAAUAUAAUAUUUUUUAUUUAAAAAUAAAUUAUUUAUUAAUAUGAAUAUAUUAAGGGAUAAGCUUUAAUUUAUUGAAUUAUAAUUUUGUAAAUAUAAAAAUUAAUUGUAGAUUUAGAAAUAGUUAUCAAUAAAAAUUUUGUAUUAAUUUAUAAGAAUUAUUUAAUAUUUUAUAAAAUUUAAUUUUAGUAUUAAAAUAUAUUUUUUAAUAAUAAAAAAGUAGAAAUAAUGAUGAAAUUAGUAUAUAUAAUUUAUUUGUUUUAAUAAUUAAAUAAAAUUAAUUUAAGGAAUUCGGCAAAAUAAUAUUCACCUGUUUAACAAAAACAUGUCUUUUAGAAAAUAAUUUAAAGUCUAACCUGCCCACUGAAUUAUUUUGAAGGGCCGCAGUAUUUUGACUGUGCAAAGGUAGCAUAAUCAUUAGUCUUUUAAUUGAAGGCUUGUAUGAAUGGUUGGAUGAGAUAUUAACUGUCUCAAAUUAAUAAAAUAGAAUUUAAUUUUUAAGUUAAAAAGCUUAAAUAUAAUUAGAGGACGAGAAGACCCUAUAGAUCUUUAUAUUUUAAUUUAUAAUUUUUAUUUAGUUUUGAAAAUAUUUUUAUAAAUAAUAAUAUUUUAUUGGGGUGAUAACUAAAUUUAGUUAACUUUAUUUAAUAAAAACAUUAAUUUAUGAAUAAUUGAUCCAUUAUUAGUGAUUAUAAGAUUAAGUUACCUUAGGGAUAACAGCGUAAUUUUUUUAGAGAGUUCUUAUCGAUAAAAAAGUUUGCGACCUCGAUGUUGAAUUAAAGAUUAAUUUAGGUGCAGUAGUUUAAAUGUUUGGUCUGUUCGACCAUUAAAUCUUUACAUGAUUUGAGUUCAAACCGGCGUGAGCCAGGUUGGUUUCUAUCCUUAAUAAAAUAAAAUAUUUUAGUACGAAAGGACCAAAUAUUUAAAAAAUUUUUUUUAUAAGAAUAAUAUUAAU
RNAcentral lists this ribosomal RNA (1307 nucleotides) under Neoneuromus fenestralis. RNAcentral's name for it is "16S ribosomal RNA". The stretch from base 1065 to 1223 matches the Rfam family "Archaeal large subunit ribosomal RNA", at positions 2542 to 2701 of the family's 2987-position model. The record is from RNAcentral. Lineage: Eukaryota; Metazoa; Arthropoda; Insecta; Megaloptera; Corydalidae.